Molecule: ribosomal RNA, 490 nt
Filed under: uncultured bacterium
Lineage: Bacteria
Description: partial 16S ribosomal RNA
Rfam family: Bacterial small subunit ribosomal RNA
Source: RNAcentral
AUUGAACGCUGGCGGCAGGCCUAACACAUGCGAGUCGAAUGGUAACAGGAAACAGCUUGCUGUUUCGCUGACGAGUGGCGGACGGGUGAGUAAUGUCUGGGAAACUGCCUGAUGGAGGGGGAUAACUACUGGAAACGGUAGCUAAUACCGCAUAGCGUCGCAAGACCAAAGAGGGGGACCUUCGGGCCUCUUGCCAUCAGAUGUGCCCAGAUGGGAUUAGCUAGUAGGUGGGGUAACGGCUCACCUAGGCGACGAUCCCUAGCUGGUCUGAGAGGAUGACCAGCCACACUGGAACUGAGACACGGUCCAGACUCCUACGGGAGGCAGCAGUGGGGAAUAUUGCACAAUGGGCGCAAGCCUGAUGCAGCCAUGCCGCGUGUAUGAAGAAGGCCUUCGGGUUGUAAAGUACUUUCAGCGGGGAGGAAGGGAGUAAAGUUAAUACCUUUGCUCAUUGACGUUACCCGCAGAAGAAGCACCGGCUAACUCCGUG